RNAcentral lists this ribosomal RNA (1147 nucleotides) under Salmonella enterica. RNAcentral describes it as "partial 23S ribosomal RNA". It matches the Rfam family "Bacterial large subunit ribosomal RNA", at positions 1783 to 2925 of the family's 2925-position model. The record is from RNAcentral. RNAcentral also lists the same sequence under 2 other names. Lineage: Bacteria; Pseudomonadati; Pseudomonadota; Gammaproteobacteria; Enterobacterales; Enterobacteriaceae.
UACCAGCUGGCUGCAACUGUUUAUUAAAAACACAGCACUGUGCAAACACGAAAGUGGACGUAUACGGUGUGACGCCUGCCCGGUGCCGGAAGGUUAAUUGAUGGGGUCAGCGCAAGCGAAGCUCCUGAUCGAAGCCCCGGUAAACGGCGGCCGUAACUAUAACGGUCCUAAGGUAGCGAAAUUCCUUGUCGGGUAAGUUCCGACCUGCACGAAUGGCGUAAUGAUGGCCAGGCUGUCUCCACCCGAGACUCAGUGAAAUUGAACUCGCUGUGAAGAUGCAGUGUACCCGCGGCAAGACGGAAAGACCCCGUGAACCUUUACUAUAGCUUGACACUGAACAUUGAGCCUUGAUGUGUAGGAUAGGUGGGAGGCUUUGAAGCGUGGACGCCAGUCUGCGUGGAGCCGACCUUGAAAUACCACCCUUUAAUGUUUGAUGUUCUAACGUGGACCCGUGAUCCGGGUUGCGGACAGUGUCUGGUGGGUAGUUUGACUGGGGCGGUCUCCUCCUAAAGAGUAACGGAGGAGCACGAAGGUUGGCUAAUCCUGGUCGGACAUCAGGAGGUUAGUGCAAUGGCAUAAGCCAGCUUGACUGCGAGCGUGACGGCGCGAGCAGGUGCGAAAGCAGGUCAUAGUGAUCCGGUGGUUCUGAAUGGAAGGGCCAUCGCUCAACGGAUAAAAGGUACUCCGGGGAUAACAGGCUGAUACCGCCCAAGAGUUCAUAUCGACGGCGGUGUUUGGCACCUCGAUGUCGGCUCAUCACAUCCUGGGGCUGAAGUAGGUCCCAAGGGUAUGGCUGUUCGCCAUUUAAAGUGGUACGCGAGCUGGGUUUAGAACGUCGUGAGACAGUUCGGUCCCUAUCUGCCGUGGGCGCUGGAGAACUGAGGGGGGCUGCUCCUAGUACGAGAGGACCGGAGUGGACGCAUCACUGGUGUUCGGGUUGUCAUGCCAAUGGCACUGCCCGGUAGCUAAAUGCGGAAGAGAUAAGUGCUGAAAGCAUCUAAGCACGAAACUUGCCCCGAGAUGAGUUCUCCCUGAGACUUUAGGUCUCCUGAAGGAACGUUGAAGACGACGACGUUGAUAGGCCGGGUGUGUAAGCGCAGCGAUGCGUUGAGCUAACCGGUACUAAUGAACCGUGAGGCUUAACCUU